RNAcentral lists this ribosomal RNA (407 nucleotides) under uncultured bacterium. RNAcentral's name for it is "partial 16S ribosomal RNA". It matches the Rfam family "Bacterial small subunit ribosomal RNA", at positions 30 to 526 of the family's 1533-position model. The record is from RNAcentral.
AUUGAACGCUAGCGGGAGGCCUUACACAUGCAAGUCGAACGGAGCGGCGAACGGGUGAGUAAUGCAUAGGAACGUGCCUGGUAGCGGGGGAUAACUACGCGAAAGCGUCGCUAAUACCGCAUACUAUUGGAGCGGCCGAUCUCGGAUUAGCUAGUUGGUGGGGUAACGGCUCACCAGGGCGACGAUCCGUAUCUGGUUUGAGAGGACGAACAGCCACACUGGAACGGAGACACGGCCCAGACUCCUACGGGAGGCAGCAGUGGGGAAUUUUGGACAAUGGGGGAAACCCUGAUCCAGCCAUCCCGCGUGUGCGAUGAAGGCCUUCGGGUUGUAAAGCACUUUAAGUAGGGAGGCGGUACCUGCAGAAUAAGCACCGGCUAACUACGUGCCAGCAGCCGCGGUAAUAC